AAGUCCAACAUACGAAGACCUUUAUUAUAUGAGCCCAGAUUAGAUUAAUAAUUUUUUCUGCUUAUGAGAGUGAGAUGAAACAUCUAUUCUUUUCUCAAGAAUCCUCCAACAUCAAAUCUUUUAUUUUAUCUUCAAAUCUUGGCAAGUGAUCCUGCAAGAAUUCUUUUCUUUUCCAAGAUUCUUGUGCAGCCAUGACAUUUGGCCUACAUGCAGCCAAGUUUUACCCACAUUAACCCAUUCACCUCUUUAAAUUACCCCAACCUAUGCAGCCCCACCACUAAAUCAAUUUCUUCAUUUUCUCCUCCUCCUUUUGUCUUCCCCAAAGGCAGAAGCUAACAACAUUCACUCACUCACUCAAUAGGAAGCAACCAACGCAGUAAACAAAAAAGGGAGAAGAAGGAGAACCAAGGUUCUAAAUUCGUGUAAAGAGAAAAACCCAACUAAAGACAAUAUCAUGUGCAAGGAGAGCUCCUGUACAAGGAUUUGAGGACCAAGAGGAUUAGCACUGCUUUUCCGUGACAGUUUUACGAUUAAACUACAGGCUUUGCCUAUUCAGGUUGAUCAGUUGGUGCAGACGAGGCUGAGUUGAGGCUAAGUACCAUGAUGUCUUUUGCUUCCGCUAAUGACUAACUUAUCAUCUCGUCUUUUAAAUUCUCUAAAUUGAGAAUUUCUAUUGUGGGGUACAAUAUUAUUUCGUUGUGUUUAAACUCUUAUCCUAUAUAUACUUUAAUGAAGCUAUCAUUGAUUAAGAUCAGAGACACGGAACUAAACUUAUGUGAUCCUGAGUUUGAAU
Salvia miltiorrhiza (redroot sage) is the source of this 793-nucleotide long non-coding RNA. RefSeq lists it as uncharacterized. Lineage: Eukaryota; Viridiplantae; Streptophyta; Magnoliopsida; Lamiales; Lamiaceae. The transcript has 4 exons. The record is from RefSeq and is a predicted model, not a curated record.